This 401-nucleotide ribosomal RNA is filed under the name uncultured bacterium. Its description in RNAcentral is "bacterial SSU rRNA". It matches the Rfam family "Bacterial small subunit ribosomal RNA", at positions 356 to 774 of the family's 1533-position model. The record is from RNAcentral.
GGGGAAUAUUGGACAAUGGGGGAAACCCUGAUGCAGCAACGCCGCGUGAGUGACGACGGUCUUCGGAUUGUAAAGCUCUGUCUUCAGGGACGAUAAUGACGGUACCUGAGGAGGAAGCCACGGCUAACUACGUGCCAGCAGCCGCGGUAAUACGUAGGUGGCAAGCGUUGUCCGGAUUUACUGGGCGUAAAGGGAGCGUAGGUGGAUAUUUAAGUGGGACGUGAAAUACUCGGGCUUAACCUGGGUGCUGCAUUCCAAACUGGAUAUCUAGAGUGCAGGAGAGGAAAGUAGAAUUCCUAGUGUAGCGGUGAAAUGCGUAGAGAUUAGGAAGAAUACCAGUGGCGAAGGCGACUUUCUGGACUGUAACUGACACUGAGGCUCGAAAGCGUGGGGAGCAAACA